RNAcentral lists this ribosomal RNA (398 nucleotides) under uncultured beta proteobacterium. RNAcentral describes it as "bacterial SSU rRNA". It matches the Rfam family "Bacterial small subunit ribosomal RNA", at positions 114 to 507 of the family's 1533-position model. The record is from RNAcentral. Lineage: Bacteria; Pseudomonadati; Pseudomonadota; Betaproteobacteria.
UGCAUCGGAACGUGUCCUGUAAUGGGGGAUAACCUGGCGAAAGCCAGGCUAAUACCGCAUACGUCCUGAGGGAGAAAGCGGGGGAUCGCAAGAGCCUCGCGCGAUUGGAGCGGCCGAUGUCGGAUUAGCUGGUUGGUGAGGUAAAGGCUCACCAAGGCGACGAUCCGUAGCGGGUCUGAGAGGAUGAUCCGCCACACUGGGACUGAGACACGGCCCAGACUCCUACGGGAGGCAGCAGUGGGGAAUUUUGGACAAUGGGCGCAAGCCUGAUCCAGCCAUGCCGCGUGAGUGAAGAAGGCCUUCGGGUUGUAAAGCUCUCUCGGCCGGGAAGAAAUCGUGUUCUCUAACAUAGGACAUGGAUGACGGUACCGGACUAAGAAGCACCGGCUAACUACGUG